CAGCCGUAAACUAUGCUCGCUAGGUGUCAGGGACGGUGCGACCGUUUCUGGUGCCGCAGGGAAGCCGUGAAGCGAGCCACCUGGGAAGUACGGUCGCAAGGCUGAAACUUAAAGGAAUUGGCGGGGGAGCACCACAACGGGUGGAGCCAGCGGUCUAAUUGGACUCAACGCCGGGAAGCUCACCGGAUAAGACAGCGGAAUGAUUGCCGGGCUGAAGACCCUGCAUGACCAGCUGAGAGGUGGUGCAUGGCGUAGUCGUGU
This 261-nucleotide ribosomal RNA is filed under the name uncultured archaeon. Its description in RNAcentral is "partial 16S ribosomal RNA". It matches the Rfam family "Archaeal small subunit ribosomal RNA", at positions 748 to 1009 of the family's 1478-position model. The record is from RNAcentral.